Molecule: small nucleolar RNA, 130 nt
Filed under: Phasianus colchicus (ring-necked pheasant)
Lineage: Eukaryota; Metazoa; Chordata; Aves; Galliformes; Phasianidae
Description: Small nucleolar RNA SNORA57 (ENSPCLG00000017786.1)
Rfam family: Small nucleolar RNA SNORA57
About the family: U99 belongs to the H/ACA class of snoRNAs which are thought to guide the sites of modification of uridines to pseudouridines, the target for this family is unknown.
Source: Rfam by way of RNAcentral
CCUCCGGUUCUUGGCAGGCCCGGCUCGCCGUGCCCGGCUCUGUAUGGGCGGAGGUAGAGCAGACACCGGAGCGGCGUCUUCGGUACCCGCGGCCAUCCGCGGGGUUCUGCCCUCCCGCGCCGGGACACGC